Molecule: long non-coding RNA, 421 nt
Filed under: Vigna radiata
Lineage: Eukaryota; Viridiplantae; Streptophyta; Magnoliopsida; Fabales; Fabaceae
Description: long non-coding RNA (VRAD_LNC012737)
Source: RNAcentral
GUAUUGAUAAAGGUUCAAGUUUGGGGCUGUUGGGAAAGUUGAAAAAGAAAAAGAUAAGCAUUGAGCUAAUGUGUUGAGCAAAACAUGAAAAGUUGAAAAAGAUAGAAAAGAUAAAAAAAAAGAAAAAGAAAAAAAGAUAAAAUGAGAAGAAAAGCUCAAUGCAAAGAAAAGGGAAAGUUGGGAAUGAGUGAGAUUGGUUGUUUAAAGAGAGUUUGUGUUUAAACUAUAAAUGUGAAUAACUCUCUUAACUCAAGGAUUUUGUGAUCCAAAAAAACCAAUGUUCUUCUUAGCCCAACCACGUUACAAGCCAUAAAAAGUCCUUGUGAUUAUAACUUGCUUGUGAGUAUGAUUGAUUGUGCUUAAAUGAAAGGCAAAGUUAAUUUGUGUGACAAUGUGAUAGUAGAGAGAAUGAGUCACCUCA